UGACCUGGACCGAAAUCAAGAGUGGCCUGAGCCACAUCAACAAUUUUUAAAACUAUUCGCAGCCUCCAUUGUGUGAAAGAACACGAUUUUCUGGAUUCCCUGAAGCGCCUCAGCACACUGUGCAUUGAGAGUCUGCCUGGCAACAGCCAUCUAGGUCCCAGGGAUGGUGACGGAGGGGCCUGGUGGCUACAUACCGCCUCAGCCCUAAUAGUAAAGAUUCCGCGGUGCGCCCGAGCCUUCGGGCCUGCCCUCCUACCCCUGUAAACCCUCUGGGUCUCCUCCCAUCUUUGGCCGGAGGGAACCCCUUCCCAGAUCGUGUCGGAUUGAGGGUGAAGCCCACACAGCUCGGGGCUCCCUGGGCGGAGAUGGGUCCUGGCCCUUCCAGGCCCUGACGACGCUGUGCGGCUGGAGCUCCGUCCCCCACCUGUGCCUUGAGGCCCUGCCCCACUUUGUGAUGGCUCUGAAGGGUCAAGGGCGGGACACGGGUCCACAGUGAUUUUCAAUCUGGGCCAUCACAGGGGGCCUUUUUGGGUUAACGUUUAAAAAACGUGAUCUCCUCUCUCCGUGGAGGCUGAGAAGCGUCCCAAGGAGGGUUUCUACCCCAGCGGGGCCGGCUCCUGCGCUGGCGGCCUGGAAAACACUGCUGUCCCCGGCAUCGUCCUGGUGGUUGCACGAACAGAACCUCGGCCCCAAGCAAAGGGCGGAUCACCAGGCCCAGUGACCGUCUGCGUCAGCCCCAUACCCUCUCAGGCUGCGGGAGAUCAUCCAGAAGCUUUCGGGCCUCUCAGCCCUGUGAUGCGAGAGGGCAGGACAUCUUCAAAUGUAUGGCUGAGGACAUCAAGGUCCAGAGAAAAGAGUGAUGGGCAGAAGCCAGGGCGAGAAGCCAAUGGCCUGAUUUCUGGUCCUGGGCCAUUUCUACAAUUCAGUUCUGCACCCCCCCCCCUCCCCACCACCACUCCGGCCUUGCUGAAAGUAUGUAUUCACCAAGAGGCUACUACUUGCUGACUCAUUCAUUCAUUCCUUUCAUGAACAAUUAUGGAACUCCAGGCACUGUUGUAUGUCUGGAAUGCACAGCAGUGAAAAUAAAAAUGAAACAAAACCCAAACCAGCCCUUUCUGUUCAUUAUGAUCAGGCCCUGUUAAGGGCAGUGCCGUGAUAAAGAGCUCAGAGGCUGGGGCCCGGCUGCCUGGGUCUGAGUCCCAGCUCCCCUGGUCACCAGCAGCAGCCUCUCUGGCAAGUUUUUCAAACCUUCUGCGUCUCAGUGUCUUCAUCAGUAAGUCAAGGAUAAUUAUAGUACCUCCCUGAGGGCUGUUUAGUGCGGUGGACACGAGGGUACAAGUGUAUUCUCACGAGUACCUGAGUCGUCUCUGGCACACAGCAAGCCCUCCAGAAAAGCUACUGGUGGGUCCAACCGAUCUUAUGGGGGGGUUGAAAAACCUAAAUACGUGUGAAGAUUGUAAAAUGCUUAAGAAUACA
Leopardus geoffroyi (Geoffroy's cat) is the source of this 1476-nucleotide long non-coding RNA. RefSeq lists it as uncharacterized. NCBI's taxonomy places the organism in Eukaryota, Metazoa, Chordata, Mammalia, Carnivora, Felidae. The record is from RefSeq and is a predicted model, not a curated record. The transcript has 3 exons.